UCCACCUCAUCAUUAGUUCCCCACGCCCGCCGCCUGGGGUCCGUGGUCGAUCCCGCGCCGUCGCACCGCCGCCAUACACCGCCCGGGGCUAUCGCCAGUUGAUCCCACCCCGCCCUGCCUCUGCAGCGCUGCCCCACGCCGCCGUCCUUCUGUCGCGCCGCUCCAGCGCCGCCCAAUGCUGUCCGGCCUCUCCACCGCCGGCACCACGCCCUCGUGCUACAUCCAGCAAAGCUGCCGCCCCCUCCCUAGCCCGACCUCCCCCAUCUCCACCACGAAGGGACAAACAGCGGCAGCGGCGAGUUGGAUCGGGGCAGCGUGCUGCUGGGCAACGGCUGAGGUACAGCUCCUUCCUCUCAUCCUUGCCUCCCUCCUUCUAUCUCUCCCCCCCUGGUGGCAUAUUGCGACAGCGUGCUGGCGUGGAAAAGAGUGCUCCGGUGGUGGGGAAUGGGGAGCUCCAGUGGUGGGGAACGAGUAGAUGUUCAGGACAAGGCACCUCAUGCAUUUCUUCUCUGGUUCUCCGGUUUGCUGUGUACUGCUGCUAGCUAGCCUAAUUGUGAGAAGUUGAGCUUUGAGAGAAGCUUUAUGGUAGCAAUAUGAACUAAUUUUAGAAGUUGAGUUGUUGUGUGCAGAUUUUGUUUAUUUCCAUUGCAAAUUUUGUGGUAGCAAUAUGUAUUGAUCCUUUCUUUCCAUUGGCCAUAUAGUUCACCUUACACUAAGAGUCAUGUUUUUGGUGUUACUCUUGUUAUGCUUCUGUGCAAGAUGGGUUAUUUUUUGUUCUUCCAAAAAAAGUCCCCUAGAUCUGUUUGUGUUUUGUGCUUAAUCUGCCAUGAUGUGCUUAGUCUGCCACCAUGUUUAAUGUCUCUGUGUGCUUCAUAAGAGGAUUGUUCAUAUGUAAAAACUUUCCUUUUACAUAAGAGGAUUGUUCAAGUUAAUUAAGCUACCAUGGAUAAACUUUCCUUUUACAUAGCUUCAGUUUGUCUUAGAUAACUUCCUCUUGUACUGUUUGUUCCUGAAUCUAGUCCUUCAGUUUGUUCAUGAAUAACCUCCUGUUGUACUGUUUGUCAUUAAUCUUGUCUUUCAGUCUGGUCAUGAAUGUUUUGCUGAAUAGAAAAUACUCAUCGUCUUAUUUUUGGCUAAUUCCAUAAUUGAUAUUUUUUGUAACUACAAGUCUCACUAGGCACACACACAUUUAUGAGCAUUAGGGCGCAUCCAUAGUACAGAACAGAGCAUCAUACACUGGUAGUUGCUUUUAAAGUUGCUAUUUCUGAAUCUUGUUUCUAGGCUAACCUAGUAUUUAUAAUCUUUAUUUCUCUUAUGCGUAACCUGAUGGUUUCAUAGGUUCUGGCUCUUAUACGUAUGAAGAUUUGUAUGUAGAGUACAUAUGCUUCUCUGAAAGUAAUGGCUUAAUUUAAUCUAAUUUGUGGCACUGAAGUACAUAUGUUUUUCUCUGAUGCAUUUCUGAAUAUAAGUGGCUCUUAUUUGAUGCAUUGCCAGGAAACCUGAUUGAUGCGUACCUGGUGUUGGUAAUAUGCGUGCGUGUGUAGCGCUGUUAUUCCCCGGCCUGAGAGAUGUGUGUGUGGUGUUGAUGGAUGCAAGAUGCUUAGGUGUUGAUUAAUGCGUGUUUGUGCUGGAUCGAUGCAAGAGCUGCAAACUGAUGUCCCCUCUCUGACGCAUGUAAAUCAUCUAUGCGUGCUAAAUUUGUACUGACAUGUCCCCUAUCUGUUGCAUAAUUUUCAUGACAACCAGCACAUAGGAGCAGCUCUUGGUGAUUUUAGCAAAAGUUCACGCCCAAGGGGUUCACUGUGUGGCCAUGAGAGGUAGCAAACAAACAACCUAUAUCUCCCCCUAGAUAAGAAAUAAAGGCCGGUAAUUUUUCUCCUAAAUAUGUUUUAGUUGUGAAGUAGUUUUUUGAACAUAAUCACAUUGUUUUGCUGCUUUGAUGAUUGUUUUUCCUACACUUUAACAAAUAUGUAUUAUUUAUUGUGGCGAAUUUGGAGUUGAUGCAUAGGGCAGAAGGUUUCAUUGAGUCGUCUUAUUCUCUUAGCUGUUUCCUCCACAAUUUAUUUCUCUUAUUUUUCGGAAAGCAUAAAUUUCUUGUUCAAGGUAAGCACAAUGUUAUUGUACAUAUACUUAUUGGAUGUAUAUGAAUACAAGUAAUUAGUUGUUUUAAAUGGAAGGUUUCAUUGCAUCGAGCAAACAAACUUUAAAUGUUUAUGGCACUUACUAUAGUUGACUUCUCAUUUUUUGCACCGGAUUUUCUAGCAGUAUAUAAUCUAUGACAGGACUUGCCGCUUAAGCAAUGUGAUUAUGGGAAAUUGGGGACAGAAGCAACAAGUGUGUGAACUCAAACUUCUGUGUGAGCUCAUACUGGUUGCCUGGCAAAAAGCCCAGGAAGAUAGCCCGGCAAAUGUUCGUGCUUCAGAAUUUUCGGAAGUUCUUCUACUUCUAUCACAUCAGCAGAGCUUGAUCCUCAUGCCUUGCACACGUGUUCUUUUAAUAAUGUAAGUAUACCUUUUUCUCCUGUUUUAAUGCACAAGCAAAUUUUUGGUUGAGUUGAUUCUUGAGAGUAUCACUUGAAUAUAUCAUCAAUAUAUACAUCUAUUUCCCCUGUUGCAACGCAUGGGUAUUGGCCUAGUUUCUAGAAAAAACUGUAGUUUUGAAAAUACUUUGAGGUGUUUGGUCCAAGUACAUACCAUAGUUUUACAAACUAUAGUAUCCCCAAUGUAUUUAUAGUAUCCCCAAUGUAUCUAUUGUUGCCACCAGGAACUAUAUAACACAAAAAUUAUGUCUUUUGAAAAUAGAACAUCUGAAGCUUAUAUUGGUAUAUUUUUUGUAAUAUAUUACUUGUAUUAGGUUGGUCAAAUUGACGACCUAGGGGUACGCGCACGCCUUGUAAACUGAGAGAGAGGGAGUACAAAUCUACUUAGUGGAAAGGAAAUUUCAUCAGCUUGCAUAUAUAUUAAUUGUAUGCUUUUUUGUCUUUCCAGGUUGCUGUUGGAUUCUGUAGGAAAGACAAAGAGGACCAAGAAGUAGAUAUCUUCUGUAAUGGAGCAAAAACAAUGAUCUUGUAGCUAUCAGUUUGCGUCAACUAGAUAUCUUCUGUAACGGAGCAAAAACAAUGAUCUUGUAGCUAUCAUUUUGUAAUGGAUAUCUUGUGUAACGGACCAUACAUUGAAUCGUCAAACAUGCACCUAUCAUUUUAUAAACCUAUUGGGUGUUUCGGUCACUCCUACAAAUGUAACGGACCAUACCAUUGGCAAAAUGUUUACGAACCAUCGAUCGGCAAAAGGAAGCCUUGUCCUAUAGUUGGUCGGGAAAGGUUCAUUGUAGGGCCAACAAAAAGUUGGUUGGCAAAACUAAUAUCAU
This 3366-nucleotide long non-coding RNA is filed under the name Triticum aestivum (bread wheat). RNAcentral describes it as "long non-coding RNA (TAES_LNC011993)". The record is from RNAcentral. Lineage: Eukaryota; Viridiplantae; Streptophyta; Magnoliopsida; Poales; Poaceae.